GAUGAAGAACGUAGCGAAAUGCGAUAAGUAGUGUGAAUUGCAGAAUUCAGUGAAUCAUCGAAUCUUUGAACGCACAUUGCGCCCCUUGGUAUUCCAUGGGGCAUGCCUGUUCGAGCGUCAUUUGUACCUUCAAGCUCUGCUAGGUGUUGGGUGUUUGUCUCGCCUCUGCGUGUAGACUCGCCUCAAAACAAUUGGCAGCCGGCGUAUUGAUUUCGGAGCGCAGUACAUCUCGCGCUUUGCACUCAUAACGACGACGUCCAAAAGUACAUUUUUACACUCUUGACCUCGGAUCAGGUAGGGAUACCCGCUGAACUUAAGCAUAUCAAUAAGCGGAGGA
RNAcentral lists this unclassified non-coding RNA (337 nucleotides) under soil metagenome. RNAcentral's name for it is "partial contains 5.8S ribosomal RNA, internal transcribed spacer 2, and large subunit ribosomal RNA". The stretch from base 1 to 120 matches the Rfam family "5.8S ribosomal RNA", at positions 35 to 154 of the family's 154-position model. The record is from RNAcentral.